CCUUGUACACACCGCCCGUCACACCACGAAAAGCCCGCUGUACCAGAAAUCGCCGGAGCUAACCCGUAAGGGAGGCAGGCGCUCAAGGUAUGGUUGGUAAUUGGGGUG
This 108-nucleotide ribosomal RNA is filed under the name uncultured bacterium. RNAcentral's name for it is "partial 16S ribosomal RNA". It matches the Rfam family "Bacterial small subunit ribosomal RNA", at positions 1379 to 1482 of the family's 1533-position model. The record is from RNAcentral.